Long non-coding RNA from Cervus elaphus (red deer), 155 nucleotides. RefSeq lists it as uncharacterized. Lineage: Eukaryota; Metazoa; Chordata; Mammalia; Artiodactyla; Cervidae. The transcript has 3 exons. The record is from RefSeq and is a predicted model, not a curated record.
CGGGGAGACCACAUUCUCCCCCAUAAAUUCAUCCAAAGAUCAUUUGAAUGCUGAGCAAAUUCCACAAAACAACUUCUGAACCCUGGCAGAGAACACCAGGCACCCAUGAAAGCAGCCCAUUCUCUUCUAAAGGAACUCAGUCAUCAAACUCAAAC